GUCGAGAAUCUUUCACAAUGGGGGCAACCCUGAUGGAGCGACGCCGCGUGGAGGAUAAGGUCUUCGGAUUGUAAACUCCUGUCAUGCGUGAACAAGGUUGCUUGGUUAAUACCUGGGCAAAUUGAUGGUAACGCAAGAGGAAGAGACGGCUAACUCUGUGCCAGCAGCCGCGGUAAUACAGAGGUCUCAAGCGUUGUUCGGAAUCACUGGGCGUAAAGGGUGCGUAGGUGGCGUGGUAAGUCAGAUGUGAAAGCCCGGGGCUCAACCUCGGAACGGCAUCCGAUACUGCCAUGCUAGAGUACGGGAGAGGUGACUAGAAUUCUCGGUGUAGCAGUGAAAUGCGUAGAUAUCGAGAGGAAUACCAAAGGCGUAGGCAGGUCACUGGACAGUUACUGACACUGAGGCACGAAGGCCAGGGGAGCGAACGGGAUUAGAAACCCUAGUAGUCC
This 449-nucleotide ribosomal RNA is filed under the name uncultured bacterium. RNAcentral's name for it is "bacterial SSU rRNA". It matches the Rfam family "Bacterial small subunit ribosomal RNA", at positions 354 to 796 of the family's 1533-position model. The record is from RNAcentral.